UGCAAGUCGAGCGGAAAGGCCCUUCGGGGUACUCGAGCGGCGAACGGGUGAGAAACACGUGAGUAACCUGCCCCUGACUCUGGGAUAAGCCCGGGAAACUGGGUCUAAUACCGGAUACGACACCUCCCCGCAUGGGGUGGGUGUGGAAAGUUUUUUCGGUUGGGGAUGGACUCGCGGCCUAUCAGCUUGUUGGUGGGGUAACGGCCUACCAAGGCGACGACGGGUAGCCGGCCUGAGAGGGCGACCGGCCACACUGGGACUGAGACACGGCCCAGACUCCUACGGGAGGCAGCAGUGGGGAAUAUUGCGCAAUGGGCGAAAGCCUGACGCAGCGACGCCGCGUGGGGGAUGACGGCCUUCGGGUUGUAAACCUCUUUCAGCAGGGACGAAGGUGACGUGUACCUGCAGAAGAAGCGCCGGCUAACUACGUGCCAGCAGCCGCGGUAAUACGUAGGGCGCAAGCGUUGUCCGGAAUUAUUGGGCGUAAAGAGCUCGUAGGUGGCUUGUCACGUCGGGUGUGAAAGCUUGGGGCUUAACUCCAGGUCUGCAUUCGAUACGGGCUGGCUAGAGGUAGGUAGGGGAGAACGGAAUUCCUGGUGUAGCGGUGAAAUGCGCAGAUAUCAGGAGGAACACCGGUGGCGAAGGCGGUUCUCUGGGCCUUACCUGACGCUGAGGAGCGAAAGCG
RNAcentral lists this ribosomal RNA (685 nucleotides) under Streptosporangium sp. YIM 63673. Its description in RNAcentral is "bacterial SSU rRNA". It matches the Rfam family "Bacterial small subunit ribosomal RNA", at positions 56 to 761 of the family's 1533-position model. The record is from RNAcentral. Lineage: Bacteria; Bacillati; Actinomycetota; Actinomycetes; Streptosporangiales; Streptosporangiaceae.